Molecule: long non-coding RNA, 209 nt
Organism: Lutra lutra (Eurasian river otter)
Lineage: Eukaryota; Metazoa; Chordata; Mammalia; Carnivora; Mustelidae
Exons: 3
Source: RefSeq, a predicted model, not a curated record
AUUCUCCUACCAUGUGCCGACUAACAGACAUGAAUUUCAGCUGGUAGUUAAAGUUUUCACAGCAGACACACAUCACUGAGCUGGAAGAUACAUUCUGAGACAGAAUGUUGAUACCCACAUCUCUCCAAAAGGGAUCCUCCAGCUACAAAUGACUAUCUGUUUCCUUGAGGGGGGACCAAGACUUAAUGAACCAGCUUUGCUGUUUGGGG